CCUACGGGAGGCAGCAGUAGGGAAUAUUGCUCAAUGGGGGAAACCCUGAAGCAGCAACGCCGCGUGGAGGAUGAAGGUUUUAGGAUUGUAAACUCCUUUUGUUAGAGAAGAUUAUGACGGUAUCUAACGAAUAAGCACCGGCUAACUCCGUGCCAGCAGCCGCGGUAAUACGGAGGGUGCCAGCGUUACUCGGAAUCACUGGGCGUAAAGAGUGCGUAGGCGGGGUAAUAAGUCCGAUGUGAAAUCCUGUAGCUUAACUACAGAACUGCAUUUGAAACUGUUACUCUUGAGUGUGGGAGAGGUAGGUGGAAUGCUUGGUGUAGGGGUGAAAUCCGUAGAGAUCAAGAGGAAUACUCAUUGCGAAGGCGACCUGCUGGAACACUACUGACGCUGAUGCACGAAAGCGUGGGGAGCGAACAGGAUUAGAUACCCCAGUAGUC
RNAcentral lists this ribosomal RNA (440 nucleotides) under uncultured bacterium. Its description in RNAcentral is "partial 16S ribosomal RNA". It matches the Rfam family "Bacterial small subunit ribosomal RNA", at positions 338 to 795 of the family's 1533-position model. The record is from RNAcentral.